GAGCUUCCAGGUAGCAGGUAGCAGGGCUGCUGUUCUGAGCUGUGGAUUGGACCCGCCCUCCGGUGCCUACUGAGCUGAUAACAGUUCUGAUUUUACACACUGGCUCAGUUCAGCAGGAACAGGAGUCGAGCCCGAGAGCAAAAAAGACUA
This is a microRNA precursor of Sarcophilus harrisii (Tasmanian devil), 150 nucleotides long. Ensembl annotates it as sha-mir-24-1. Its record names the gene sha-mir-24-1. Lineage: Eukaryota; Metazoa; Chordata; Mammalia; Dasyuromorphia; Dasyuridae. The record is from Ensembl.